UCGAACGAUGAACCUCUUCGGAGGGGAUUAGUGGCGAACGGGUGAGUAACACGUGGGCAAUCUGCCCUGCACUCUGGGACAAGCCCUGGAAACGGGGUCUAAUACCGGAUAUGACGUGCGACCGCAUGGUCUGUACGUGGAAAGCUCCGGCGGUGCAGGAUGAGCCCGCGGCCUAUCAGCUUGUUGGUGGGGUGAUGGCCUACCAAGGCGACGACGGGUAGCCGGCCUGAGAGGGCGACCGGCCACACUGGGACUGAGACACGGCCCAGACUCCUACGGGAGGCAGCAGUGGGGAAUAUUGCACAAUGGGCGAAAGCCUGAUGCAGCGACGCCGCGUGAGGGAUGACGGCCUUCGGGUUGUAAACCUCUUUCAGCAGGGAAGAAGCGAAAGUGACGGUACCUGCAGAAGAAGCACCGGCUAACUACGUGCCAGCAGCCGCGGUAAUACGUAGGGUGCGAGCGUUGUCCGGAAUUAUUGGGCGUAAAGAGCUCGUAGGCGGCUUGUCACGUCGGAUGUGAAAGCCCGGGGCUUAACCCCGGGUCUGCAUUCGAUACGGGCAGGCUAGAGUUCGGUAGGGGAGAUCGGAAUUCCUGGUGUAGCGGUGAAAUGCGCAGAUAUCAGAGGAACACCGGUGGCGAAGGCGGAUCUCUGGGCCGAUACUGACGCUGAGGAGCGAAAGCGUGGGGAGCGAACAGGAU
This 699-nucleotide ribosomal RNA is filed under the name Streptomyces sp. TR-442. RNAcentral describes it as "bacterial SSU rRNA". It matches the Rfam family "Bacterial small subunit ribosomal RNA", at positions 62 to 778 of the family's 1533-position model. The record is from RNAcentral. Lineage: Bacteria; Bacillati; Actinomycetota; Actinomycetes; Kitasatosporales; Streptomycetaceae.